GGGAGAUAGGGCAACUGUCUUCAAGUAUAUGAAGAGCUGUCGUGUAGAAGAAGGAUUGAGUAUAUUCUGUUUGACUUCCAACAGCUGAACGAGAAGGAAUGGAUGAAAAUUGCAAAUGAGACAAAUUUAGAUUCACGAAGAUGAGGAGGCAGAGAAAAUCUAUGAAGAGCUUGAAAACACCCUGGAGGGUCAAUCUCCUUAUGCUUUGCUAUGUGACUUCAAAACACAGUUUUCUCAUCCAUAAAAUGGGAAUAAUAAUAGAACCUACUUCCCAAGGUUGUUGUCAGAAUCAAAUGAGGUAACUAUGGGAAAUGGCUCUUCCAACUGACCUGCUACUGUAACUUUUUUACAUGUUACAUCCACCAUUAGAAUCUGAGCUCCUUGAGAGCAAAGGCUCUUUAAUAAUUCUGUUUUUUAUCUCAAGUACUCAACAUAGUAUUCUGUACACAAAAAAUGCUUAAUAAAAGCUUCAUUCAUUUAUCA
RNAcentral lists this long non-coding RNA (483 nucleotides) under Monodelphis domestica (gray short-tailed opossum). Its description in RNAcentral is "lncRNA (ENSMODG00000038777.1)". Lineage: Eukaryota; Metazoa; Chordata; Mammalia; Didelphimorphia; Didelphidae. The record is from RNAcentral.